RNAcentral lists this long non-coding RNA (1424 nucleotides) under Gallus gallus (chicken). RNAcentral's name for it is "lncRNA (ENSGALG00010020678.1)". The record is from RNAcentral. Lineage: Eukaryota; Metazoa; Chordata; Aves; Galliformes; Phasianidae.
UGGGUACCGCCAAGCUCUUCUCGCACCCGCUGAAAUCUAAUGGAAACUGUUAAAUUUUGCAUAACAUCCAACUGAGUUCUGCCAGACCUCUGUGAACAGGAAGCAACAGGUUGAGCGCGAGCAGAGGGACCGCACAUCUCAAGUAAAGAAAUUGACUCAUUACUCUGCAGUACAGUCACCGGAGCCAUGUGGGGAUAGAAAACAAAGUGAUGAAUCAGGCCCAGCGUUUGCUGCAAGUUUAGACUGCUGUCUGGUUGGCAAAUAGCUCUGAAACCAGUCCCAGUGCUGCAUUCUGCCAAGGCUUCCAUAGCUGAUACGAAGAAGUCUGGAAAGCCACCUCCACGCCCUGAUGUAGCACUACAGCACAGCCCUGAAGUGGCAGCUGUGAAAUGCAGAACAGCCAGACAAAGCUGGUAACACGUUUGUACAGCCUGGGGUGUCAGGAGGAAUCAGCUCCACAGAGCGGACGAGGAGACAGAGAAGUGAAGUUUUUGGUUCUCUCCUUGGUUUACUACAUUGCGAAGCAAGCUGUCCUCGAGUCCUCUGGGAAGCCUUUCUGCACAACCAUUAUCCCUCUCUUCGAGUCUGAAAAGGAAUUACUGCACGUGAAUCUGGCGAGGUUUGGAGAAGCACUGAAGGGUUCUUGCAUUAUGGACGUCAAAGUGUGACCCCACGAUUGCCAGAGGCCACCUAGCACCUCCCUCCAGAAGCACGUAUCAGGUCUUGACCACAGAGGGUGGUUAGUGAGCAGCACUGCAGUACACACAACCCAACCUGCUGCAAAAUGACUCCCCCAGAUGGAUCCCCUCCAAUGAGGAUAAUAUAAGUCAGACAUUAGAAGGUGGGGCACAACGCCGUGCUUGGGAAGAUGCUUUCCUUUGAAAUAAGGCUGAGCUACGAGGAAAAUUGCCUGCACAAGAGAUUUGCUGAAUUUAAGUGUGCGGAGCUCUGGGACAGCUGUGGGGCAGACGAUGGAGCGGUGUUCUCACCCUGGCCUGGAGGGGGACCUGUCUACGAAGGGAAUGAGAGACAAUUUCUCCGUGACACAACCCUGCCUUGACUCUCUGCUGAGGCUGUUACCAAAGGGCUAACAACACGGUUUUGUGACGUGGUGCCUUCCCAAUUGCGGCUGGAUUCAGAGAAGGUAUUUUAAAGCUGCUGCACAGAGGGACUGAUCUUGCUGUACAUGGAGGAGUCCCCUGGUGUAACACCAUCUCUCUGUUACUGUCUGUGGUGAACUCGUAAAACAAGCUCAGGGCUUGCAGAGUCUGUCGCCAUACGAGAAGCAGGGUCACAGAUGCAUGGUAACAAACACAGGCUCCCUCCUCACCUGCUGACCGGAAGGACUCAGCAAUAGCUUAGAACUAGUUGCACGGCAUGAAUUUCUGCAGCAUUAUGAAGCUGUUAUGAAGACCUCAGUGCUA